GAGCUUGCUCUCUGAUGGCGAGUGGCGAACGGGUGAGUAACAUAUCGGAACGUGCCUAGUAAUGGGGAACAACUAAUCGAAAGAUUAGCUAAUACCGCAUACGACCUACGGGUGAAAGCAGGGGAUCUUCGGACCUUGCGUUAUUAGAGCGGCCGAUAUCUGAUUAGCUUGUUGGUAGGGUAAAAGCCUACCAAGGCGACGAUCAGUAGCUGGUCUGAGAGGACGAUCAGCCACACUGGAACUGAGACACGGUCCAGACUCCUACGGGAGGCAGCAGUGGGGAAUUUUGGACAAUGGGGGCAACCCUGAUCCAGCCAUUCCGCGUGAGUGAAGAAGGCCUUCGGGUUGUAAAGCUCUUUCGCAAGAGAAGAAAGCUUGCUAUUUAAUAAAUAGUAAGUAUGACGGUAUCUUGACAAGAAGCACCGGCUAACUAUGUGCCAGCAGCCGCGGUAAUACAUAGGGUGCAAGCGUUAAUCGGAAUUACUGGGCGUAAAGCGUUCGCAGGCGGUUUUAUAAGUCAGAUGUGAAAUCCCCGAGCUCAACUUG
Molecule: ribosomal RNA, 546 nt
Filed under: uncultured beta proteobacterium
Lineage: Bacteria; Pseudomonadati; Pseudomonadota; Betaproteobacteria
Description: bacterial SSU rRNA
Rfam family: Bacterial small subunit ribosomal RNA
Source: RNAcentral